UACGGGGGGGGCAAGCGUUGUUCGGAAUUACUGGGCGUAAAGGGCUCGUAGGCGGCCAACUAAGUCCGACGUGAAAUCCCCAGGCUUAACCUGGGAACUGCGUCGGAUACUGGAUGGCUUGAAUUCGGGAGAGGGAUGCAGAAUUCCAGGUGUAGCGGUGAAAUGCGUAGAUAUCAGGAGGAACACCGGUGGCGAAGGCGGGUCUCUGGGCCAUUACUGACGCUGAGGAGCGAAAGCGUGGGGAGCAAACAGG
RNAcentral lists this ribosomal RNA (253 nucleotides) under uncultured bacterium. Its description in RNAcentral is "partial 16S ribosomal RNA". It matches the Rfam family "Bacterial small subunit ribosomal RNA", at positions 524 to 776 of the family's 1533-position model. The record is from RNAcentral.